UACGUAGGGGGCAAGCGUUGUCCGGAAUCAUUGGGCGUAAAGAGCGUGUAGGCGGCCAGAUAAGUCCGCUGUGAAAUCUCGAGGCUCAACUUCGAGCUGUCGGUGGAAACUGUCUGGCUAGAGUCCGGAAGAGGAGAAUGGAAUUCCUGGUGUAGCGGUGAAAUGCGCAGAUAUCAGGAGGAACACCGAUUGCGAAGGCAGCUCGCUGGGACGUUACUGACGCUGAGACGCGAAAGCGUGGGGAGCAAACAGG
Molecule: ribosomal RNA, 253 nt
Filed under: uncultured bacterium
Lineage: Bacteria
Description: partial 16S ribosomal RNA
Rfam family: Bacterial small subunit ribosomal RNA
Source: RNAcentral